This 689-nucleotide ribosomal RNA is filed under the name uncultured bacterium. Its description in RNAcentral is "bacterial SSU rRNA". It matches the Rfam family "Bacterial small subunit ribosomal RNA", at positions 60 to 739 of the family's 1533-position model. The record is from RNAcentral.
AGUCGAGGGGCAGCAUGAACUUAGCUUGCUAAGUUUGAUGGCGACCGGCGCACGGGUGAGUAACACGUAUCCAACCUGCCGAUGACUCGGGGAUAGCCUUUCGAAAGAAAGAUUAAUACCCGAUGGCAUAGUUCUUCCGCAUGGUAGAACUAUUAAAGAAUUUCGGUCAUCGAUGGGGAUGCGUUCCAUUAGGUUGUUGGCGGGGUAACGGCCCACCAAGCCUUCGAUGGAUAGGGGUUCUGAGAGGAAGGUCCCCCACAUUGGAACUGAGACACGGUCCAAACUCCUACGGGAGGCAGCAGUGAGGAAUAUUGGUCAAUGGACGAGAGUCUGAACCAGCCAAGUAGCGUGAAGGAUGACUGCCCUAUGGGUUGUAAACUUCUUUUAUACGGGAAUAAAGUGAGGCACGUGUGCCUUUUUGUAUGUACCGUAUGAAUAAGGAUCGGCUAACUCCGUGCCAGCAGCCGCGGUAAUACGGAGGAUCCGAGCGUUAUCCGGAUUUAUUGGGUUUAAAGGGAGCGUAGGCGGACGCUUAAGUCAGUUGUGAAAGUUUGCGGCUCAACCGUAAAAUUGCAGUUGAUACUGGGUGUCUUGAGUACAGUAGAGGCAGGCGGAAUUCGUGGUGUAGCGGUGAAAUGCUUAGAUAUCACGAAGAACUCCGAUUGCGAAGGCAGCUUGCUGGACUGUAA